Small nuclear RNA from Alligator sinensis (Chinese alligator), 134 nucleotides. RefSeq annotates it as U4 spliceosomal RNA. NCBI's taxonomy places the organism in Eukaryota, Metazoa, Chordata, Crocodylia, Alligatoridae. The transcript has a single exon. The record is from RefSeq and is a predicted model, not a curated record.
UAGUUUGCGCAGUGGCAGUAUUGUAGCCAAUGAGGUUAAUCCAAGGUGCAAUUAUUGCUAAUUAAUAUGUAGUUGUUGAAAAUAAAAGCACUGUAAAAUAUGAAGGACCUCCAUAUUAAUGCAUGCAUUCAGGU